GACGAACGCUGGCGGCGUGCUUAACACAUGCAAAUCGAACGGUGAAGCGCCUUCCUUUUUGGUGGGUGUGGAUGAGUGGCGAACGGGUGAGUAACACGUGAGUAACCUGCCCCCUUCUUCUGGAUAACCGCAUGAAAGUGUGGCUAAUACGGGAUAUUCUGGGUCUGUCGCAUGAUGGGUCUGGGAAAGAUAUUGUUUCGGUGGGGGAUGGGCUCGCGGCCUAUCAGCUUGUUGGUGGGGUGAUGGCCUACCAAGGCGGUGACGGGUAGCCGGCCUGAGAGGGUGGACGGUCACACUGGGACUGAGACACGGCCCAGACUCCUACGGGAGGCAGCAGUGGGGAAUAUUGCACAAUGGGCGGAAGCCUGAUGCAGCGACGCCGCGUGAGGGAUGGAGGCCUUCGGGUUGUGAACCUCUUUCGCCAGUGAAGCAGGCCUGCCUCGUUUGUGGGUGGGUUGACGGUAGCUGGAUAAGAAGCGCCGGCUAACUACGUG
This 494-nucleotide ribosomal RNA is filed under the name uncultured bacterium. Its description in RNAcentral is "partial 16S ribosomal RNA". It matches the Rfam family "Bacterial small subunit ribosomal RNA", at positions 28 to 507 of the family's 1533-position model. The record is from RNAcentral.